This 419-nucleotide unclassified non-coding RNA is filed under the name soil metagenome. RNAcentral's name for it is "partial contains 5.8S ribosomal RNA, internal transcribed spacer 2, and large subunit ribosomal RNA". The stretch from base 1 to 120 matches the Rfam family "5.8S ribosomal RNA", at positions 35 to 154 of the family's 154-position model. The record is from RNAcentral.
GAUGAAGAACGUAGUGAAAUGCGAUAAGUAAUGUGAAUUGCAGAUUUCAGUGAAUCAUCGAAUCUUUGAACGCACCUUGCGCCUUGUGGUAUUCCACAAGGCAUGCCCGUUUGAGUAUCAUUAAAUCAUCAACUCUAAAACCUUUGUGGUUUUUUUAGAGCUUGGUCUUGAGGGUUUUGCAGGCUUUUUUUUUCGAGUCUGCUCCCUUUAAAUGCAUUAGCGAGACUUCCCUAUGCUGAACCGUCUCUUUGACGUGAUAAUUAUCUGCGUCGAAUUUUGGUUCUCGUUGGGCUUGCUUCUAAUCGUCUGUUAAGACAAAACGGAUUUGGGUGCAUAUAUGCGCCUUUUUCCAAAACCUUUUUUGAUCUCAAAUCGGGUAGGACUACCCGCUGAACUUAAGCAUAUCAAUAAGCGGAGGA